Molecule: long non-coding RNA, 6973 nt
Organism: Siniperca chuatsi (mandarin fish)
Lineage: Eukaryota; Metazoa; Chordata; Actinopteri; Centrarchiformes; Sinipercidae
Exons: 2
Source: RefSeq, a predicted model, not a curated record
AUCUCACACAUGACUGAUCUCAAAACUCCAACCCAAGGACAUCGGACUCUAUCUUGAAAUGGUGCAGACAAGUAACUCUACUAUACAGUGUAAUAUACAUUUUAUUAUGAAUCUCUGAGAUACUUCUUUCCCUUGUUCUUGACACGCUUGCCCUGCUAGUUACAGUGGCAGCUAUUUGAAUAAUUGGUUUCAGAAUCUGGAGUCACAGUCCUACGAAUUCCAUGCAUACCAACAAGUUGAGGAGCAAUUCUUCAACAGGGUGUGUUCCAUGCAUGGCAGUGGAGAAUGCAUGUUUUAUGAGCUUGGAAAACAUAAAAACGCUGCAGACUGUCAACUAGGAAAUGUCCCCUUGUGAUAAAGAAGAGGGAUGACUCAGAUUGGCUUUUGUUGGGGUGAGAUUUUUUUUGUUGUUGUGAUCUGAAGAAGUUUGUGCGACUCAUUUAGUGAGAUAUGCUGUAUGACACAGACCAUGGACAAAACUGGUGAGAAGAUUGCGAGUCAAACUUGUUCUAAAUUGUUGUGCAGCAUCUGUGGGAUAUUAUGCCUGAACAUUUAUCUUGCUUUACUGGAUGUUUUAUUUGACUACAACUGGAGGUCAUGGCAAUGCCUCGGAAUGUGUUUUUUACAACUAUAUAUAAAGCAGAUUUUUAGAUUCGUGGCAUGCAGACUCUUUAACCACUAAAAGAAAAUAUUCACUAAAAGGAACUCACCUUGAAAUGAACAAGAAGACAAAUGGAUUUCCGGAGCCCUGCGAUGUUGAGCGUUAUCGAUCGGCACGCUGGAAAGGUCAGAGACUUGGCUCACUGCCGGAGCCUCACCAUGCUCUGGCAUUCACUGGAACUCUGCACCAACCAGGCUGGCACCAUGUGCCAGAAGAGGCAGUGUGUGUAGCAAAGGAAUACCCUGCUGCUAGUAUAGGGAAACAUAUACUUAAUUUUUCAAUCAUCACCAUGCUUUAUUCAUUGUGCCUUAGCCAAUGCGGGGCACGGAAGACUGUGUAACUCUUGUUAUAAUAACACUAUUGUCUCUUAGAACAUCCUCUAAUUCAAAAACUUGAGCUUGAACUCUUAAAGGAAUAGUUCGACAUUUUAGGAAAUAUGUUUAUGUGCUUUCUAACUGAGAGUUAAUUGAGAAGAUCAAUACCGCUCCCAUGUCUGUACGCAAAGUGUGAAGCUACAGCCAGCAGCUAAUUAGCUUAGCUUAGAUAAAGACUGGAAAUAGAAAGAACCACCUAGCCUAGGUCUGUCAUGUCGUGUUUACACACAACAAAAGGGCUUCAGACACGCUGAUAGGUGGAUUUUGUUAGCUUGGGACAGAGCCGGGAUAGCUGUUUCCCCCUGUGUCCAGUCUUUAUGCUAAUCUAAGCUAACCAGGUGCUGGCUGUAACUUCAUAUUUACCCUACAGACAUCAGUCUCAAUCUUCUAAUCUAACUCUUGGCAAGAAAGCAAAAAGUGCAGUACCCUAACGAUUCCUUUAACCUAAAAAAAUAAAAUAAAAUCAACACAAUUAAGGUCCAUUUUACAUGUUGUUUCCGAAGCUUUCAAGAACAUCUAGUGGCCUUCGUCAGCUUCACCUUUCUUAGCUCACCUCUAUAAGCUGACAAAGCUUCAGAAACAAGUAAAAUGGACCAUUGUGUUUAGAACUUUUGUCAUUACACUAAAACUUAUUUUCCAGGAAGAGCUAACUUCUGCUGCAUCAAUACUUACUUCAGAAAGUAAAAUCACUGGGGGGGGGGGGGUAUCCUGUGUAUGAGUGUAACCAUGUAGAGAGAUGAAUGAAUAUGGUUUAUCAACACUGGAUAAGGCAUCAGCUCAAUGACUUAGAUGAUUAAUACCAUGUGUAUGCUGCAUCAAUCUAAGUUCAAUUUCCAUUGCCAGGGUAGUUGGUUGUCUGUCUGACCAAGCACAUCAUCAUCACAUAGGUAAUGAAUUAUGCAGAGGCAGGGAUAGGUUGUUUUUUUUCCUAGACUUGGCAACUGCUAAAGAGCUCUAAGUGCUGCCUCUCUCUUAAAAGAACAUUAGCCAGUUCUCAGAUGCUUAAGCUUGGAGCUUGACUGCUUCCUGCUACUUUUUUCCUAACCAGUUUCUUAUCCGCUGCUUCUGCACCAACAGAUAAGAUUAAUAGACUACAGUAAUUAAUUCUCUGGAAGGAAAAUUAUUUAAAAAACAUUUUAAUUUAGAAUAAGCUCAGAAUAUGGUAACGUGGCAUCUCAAGUACACUGCUGAGUAAAAUAAAGCAUGGACAACAGACUUCUCAGACUGGUGUGUCAGGUUGUGUUUGGUAUACAAACUCACGCAUGCUCGUGUGUGUAUUGUAAAUGUGGAAGACCAUCACAAUUGACUUACACAGCUGACACUGCCUCUGCAAAGUGAUGAGCCGUUUAAUUCACACAUGACUACACCCAGACAGCAAGGGAUCUGUUCAUAUGACCUGCAUCACUACCCCACUUAAGUGAAAAAGCCCCUCAAGAGAAGGCAGAAUUCAAUUUAAUCAUUCACUAUGAAAAGCAAUGUUAAUGUCUUUAGCACUCCAAAUCAGGAGCACGUCAAGGUGUAGGACUUAUUUCAUCUCCUGGGAGAAUCAUGAGAAAACAGCAUCAGGCAACGAGAUCUCACUCAGCCAUUUCGCCGAUAAAAUUAAGUCUCCACUGUGUCUAAAAACAAUACAUGCAGUGAAUGUUCUCAUACUGUACACAGAUAAUUUCUCUGAUGUAUCUGAAAAAGUUUAGAGUAGUGGGCACAACAUCUAUCGCCUUUCACCCAGGUUGUUAAUGAUCUGGUUUAGGGAUGGAUGAUCCAUGUUCCCCUGACUUGAGGUGGCCCUGGUCUGAGAUGGGACAUGUUGGGAUACAGAUUGUGGUAGUUUGAUAUUUUGAGAACUACACUUGCUUUCUUUCAGAGUAAGAUGAGAAGAUCGAAACCACGCUCAUACCCGUCUGUUAAACAUGAAGCUGGAGCCAGGAGCCGGUUAGCUUAGCUUAGCAUGAAGACUGAAAACAGGAGGAAACUAUUUCUUUAAUGGAUGUACUCUAUGUGAGGCAGGUAGUCAGGCUGUCAGCCUUUAGAUAGCCAAUGGUUUCAGUCAGUUUGCAGUCAGACCCUGAAUGCAGGAGGAAAUCUGCAAAAUUGGAACAGAAACAUUUUUUUGCUGUUUAAUUCAGUCUACAUAAUUUGUAAACUACCACUACCUUCCCAAUUUCACUAUUCACAACCUGAAACUCUAAAACAGCUCUAGGCCACUAUGUAGACCUGAAUAUAAAAUGUGUUGGAAAGGAUUAAUAAUAAAUAUCUCAAAACCUGAUGUACACUUGACUGAACUGAACUAAGGCUGAUAGAAUGUCUAAAAACAGUGUGCAAGGAAAAAUAAAUCAAGGAAAUACAGUAUAUUUCCCUGGUGGGGGGGGCGCUGGGCAGUCCAUUUAGCAAGCAAUCAAGUAAUCUGAUGAAGUGAAAUGAAUGGGAGUGGGGUGGAAUGGUUAAUCGCCUGUGGAAGCAUUUUAUUUCGUAGGAACACAUUAAAGAGGUAUUCUGUCAAUGUAGGCUAUGUUGGGGGAGGCUGUGAAAAAUCACAGUCUGCCUGGGUGUGAAUCAAUGUGACUCUUGUGUUCUCUUUAGCAAAGUACAUCAUUUCUGCCAAAUAUGACUCUGCUCUUAGACAGGCUUCAACAUUGCAUCCGACAGGGAAAGAAAAUAAAGUAUGAAGGAAUCGCAGUAGAGAUAUCUGUACCAAGUUUGAUGAAAAUCCAUCCAAUAGUUGAGUCGAGAUAUUUCAGUCUUGACCAAAGUGAUGGACUGACUGAACACCGUUGCGGUCCCUAGACCCAUGUCACAAGCAGAUAAAAACUGCUGCAGUCUGAACAUAUCCCAUAUGUGUCAUUUUGAUGGUUAAAAAUAAAGAAAUAUGUUCAGGACACAGCAUCGUUUUUUGGUAAUUUCAUCAAGUACAACAAAAUAAAGAACAGCAAGAAAACAAGCAUGAUGGUUGAUCAAAAACCACCUGUUGUAUUCCUAAGUGUGCAACAGAGCGCCUGUGGUCAGAAUCAUCUGUGUAGCAAGUCUGAGCAAUUGACAAGUGAGUCAUUAUCAAGGACUAGUCCAUUGAUGUCAUUAACAAAGCUAUGGUCUAAUUUACAGCUACACUCUGACAGUGACAGUAAUUGAAAAGGGUGAGAUAUCAUCCACAAUCACCUUCAUAAUCAAAGUCAAAUAUUCCCAUCUACUCCUUUUAAUGAUUCAUACUUAAGUUCAAACUGCUCAGACUGAGAAUGGGAUCAGAAGAUUUUUUAAUGAGAAAAUGAAAAGUUUGCAAAUUAUCAAUUAACUCUGGUCAUGCCUUAGCUGUGUGUAUGGAUUGUGGAUGCAAAUCACUGCAUUGCAGAAAGUGAAAAGUACAUUUGUUCUUGUGAUCUGUGAGGUUCUCGGCUGAAUCGUAUUUUGGAAAAGCCAAGACUCUUACAUUGUUCCUUGGCAGUUCCCGGUGAGGACCAACUCUACUGAAAACACAGAGAGGAUAACUCAAGGCAAAUCAGCAACAAUCAAGCUGUCUUUGAUUCUGCAUUGGCUGGUCUCACAGACAUGGAUUAGAUAAGCCUGAUCCUUGGCUUUCAGCUGAAAAAGGCAAAAGCAAGUUUGUGAAACUGGCCUUAAGUAUUUGGAGAGUACAUCAUUUGUAUCAGAUUGUUCUUACCAUGCUUACUGUGCUCUAAUGUUACUGUGGCAUUUGUGUUUCACAUCACUGCUCUACAUAUGCAUGUUUAAUUAAAAUUAAAUUCAUAUCUAAAUUCUUUGUUGCCAUCUAUCUCCUGAUUUUCUUCACAACAAAAUCCAUUAGAUGUUGCUUGUCUUUUCUCAGUUGCACUUACAAUUCUGAAUGUCUAUAGUGUUAAAAGCUGGCAAGGUUAAUUGCUGUUUGUUUUUCCUUGCUGCCUGGAAAAACUGAAAUCUAUGAAGAGAAGAGUUGAAGUGAAGAGUUCUGCCAAAUGGAAAUGACACACAUGCUCCAUCAAAUAAAACUGCAGUAGUGCUCAGACACAACUGAUGAACUGUAAAAUUGUUGGUUAUGGUUUUUAACUCAUUUGCCGACUGAGUGACUUCAUGGAAGCCUGGCUGCUUUCUUCACUACAUGAUCCAUCUAAUCAGAUGCCAGGUAGUGGCGGUGCAUAAGAAAUGCAAUGCUAUCUCUGUAUCUAGGCCUCACAUGUUUACUGCACCGUCUGGAGUCCCUCCUGAAAGUUAAAGUGUCAUCUAAAGUCAUCUAAUGUAUGCAGCCAACAGCCACUGCUCCUGAGCUGUUCUGGGUAUUGGGGAUUACAUAAAACUGAACAGACUUGCAGUGUGGAAAUGGCCUCCUGUCAUUGUGUGUGUGUGUGUGUGUGUGUGUGCUGCUCCUCCUCCCUGACAACUGAAGCCUGAGCAUCUCCAAAGACUUGCACGAUGGGGAGCCUUGUUUUGCAUUAUCAUUAAAGACACACACGGGGUGCGAGAGACGGUAGGGCUGCAUGUACGCCACACCGGAUCAAAAAUGAGGCCUACACUGUGUGCAGAGAUUGCAACGACAGAGCAUUUCUGUGGACGCAUUUGUUGAAUUUCAGGAUAUUUUAUAGAGUGAUUUUGUACUGCAUAUCUCACAGAUUAGGAUGAGACGGUGCUAGAAACAGCAGCAUCACAGCCUUCUGCAGUUCUUCUCAUUUUCCUAAGAAGCAGCCGAGUGGUAUCUAGGCAGCAUUUGUCAGAAUGCAAAGAUUUCUGGCAGGUUUUCCCAUCAGUGCAUGUCAGAGAGAAACCAGCUUGUCUCAUGCCGAAUUGUACAAAUGUUCCAUCCUAUGAUUUUCAGCAGUGUGGUACGCUUGAACAGCUGAAGUUGAAAGAUGCACUCGUAUGGAAUUUUAUACUUUAACAGUUUUUAUUUUUUUAACCAUACUAAAAAAAGCGUGUAUGGUUUUUAUCUUUUAUCCACCAUUCACCAUGCCCACACACACUCAGGAUCCUAUGAAACAAACAGCAGAGCAUCAUCAAUGAGUAAUUGAGAGAGACUUCAGGGCAGAGCAUCAACACCAGGGGGAACGGGGCGACUUGGCGCGGGCGUGACAUUUCACCAUCUCACUCAGCAGCUGGUUAUCAAACCAAUCGGAUAUGGUUGGAAAACUCCCCCUUCUAUAUCUCAUUUUCUUCUCGCAUUGCCCUCCAAGUAUCUUGAUUCACGUCUCCAUCACAGUUAAAUGUGGAUGAUAGCCUGUUUUUCUCAUCGUGGAUGCUGAUGAGUCACAGUUUAAUGGAUACGCAAUAAGAGAUCAAAAGUAUUUUAGGAUUGUUUUUCAUAAAUGAAGCCCGCCAAUGGUGUUUUUUUUUUUUAAGACAUACAAUUCAAUAUUAAAAACAAAAGACAUAAUGAGGAAGAACAGGCAAAAACACAAAUCCAACAUUACAUUUGUGUUUACAUACUUUGACAACAGUUAAAUGGGUACAUUGAAAUCAGAUUUGGUCCUUUUAUUGGAUCCACCAAAUACAAAAAUAUUGUUAAUCAUAUCCGUCACUUUCCUAACAACAAUAUAAGGCCACUGGAGUUGCUGACAGCAUUAAUACACCAGACACUGUGUUAAAAUCCAGCAUUAUUAUUUGUGCAUGUUUACCACUUAAACAACAUAAAUCUCUCCACUGGGAAUUGUUUACCAUUAUAAAUGUGUGCAUGCUAUUGUAAAACAGCACUGCAUGGUCCAUUAGGUUUAGGUGACAGCACAAUCAGCCACUUUACAGGUUCAAGUGCUCCAACAGAUCUCUGGACUAUCAAUACUGUUUACGACACAGGUUUGGUUGAUAUAAAAGCCCUAUAUGACCUGCCAGAGAGAUAUGAUCCCCAGAUUGUCGAAUAUCAAUUUUAUUGCAGCUGCAUGCACCAUAUCACAUUAGCAUAUAUAAUGCCAGCGUAAAAAAUGUUUGAAUAUGUAGGACAUGUCUGGAAUAACAGAUGGCCACA